Molecule: transfer RNA, 77 nt
Filed under: Staphylococcus aureus
Lineage: Bacteria; Bacillati; Bacillota; Bacilli; Caryophanales; Staphylococcaceae
Also listed under: 1 other name
Description: tRNA-Thr
Rfam family: tRNA
About the family: Transfer RNA (tRNA) molecules are approximately 80 nucleotides in length. Their secondary structure includes four short double-helical elements and three loops (D, anti-codon, and T loops).
Source: RNAcentral
GCCGGCCUAGCUCAAUUGGUAGAGCAACUGACUUGUAAUCAGUAGGUUGGGGGUUUCAAGUCCUCUGGCCGGCACCA